AGUAACGUUUCAUACUUUACAUAAUUGGACAAUGGGGGAGAGAGAGAGAGAAAAAAAAUAAUCUAAUCUCUGCGACUCGACGACGUCCGCCGUUCUUAUGAAUAUUUAUCAUUUUUUGAAAGUAUAUACUACUAUUAACUUAAGUGAAAGCUUCAUAAUUCUCUGUAAACAACUCCAAUGGGUGACCACGAAGACCUCGAUUAUAAUCCACUGUACAAAGCUCUUCAGACAAAGUACUGGGAGAAAUUCUCCAAAGCACAGGAGAAUUGCUACCUGAUAUGCAUCCCACAGGCAGCCUCUCUUGCAGGCGUGAUCAUCAAUCAAGCAUUUGUAGAUACCCAUGUACUGAAGCCAUCCCCAAUGUUGAAAGAUCAUUAUAUAAGCACAGACAAAACUGAGAGUAAAACAAUUAUUGUAGAUGAGGACUUUGUCCUAGUGACAGAAGGGUUUAAGAACAAAGGUCGGAUUAAGGUCUUGUCUGAAGAAUUGGGCUAUAACAAGGAUUAUAAGCCUUUCAAGAUAUUGAUUGUACAGAAACCACUCGAGGGGGCAGUUAAAGGAAGGAGAGGUUCAGCUGGGCUUUCAGAUGACUUUCUGAUACCUAGGAACUCAUAUGAUGAGAACUGUCGUCUGCUCUCCAUGUUUCCUGAGCAUCAGCAACAGUUGAAGCAGUUGGAUGAAUCGAUCAAACAGUUCAACUCAAAUUACCUUAUCGUCAAGGGCUACCUUAACCAUGCGGCUGAGAAGCUUCAAGAACUUACGCAGCAACAUACAGAGACAAUCUUAGCAAACAACAAAUACGUUAGGCUUCAAUCUGAUACAAGAUUAGGAGAUGUGUUGUCUAUAGCAGUAGAAAGCUAUGUGACGGGAGGGGUUCAUAGCAAGUUAUUUGCUGCCGUCUGUCUAGAAUGUCAAGAAAAAGACAAGAUAUUAGCCUCUAAAAUCCAGCAACUUCAACAUGUGUCUGCAGAGGAUCUUGGUAUAUCAGAACACUUCUGCUGCAGUUUACCAGCUGGGGUCGUUGAACUAGCUCGUCUUGAUGGGAUCAACAGUCCACGGGAGAAAUUAGUCUGUCUAAAAACUACCCUGGAUGUUAUCAAUGAAGAGGUAACGGCACAUCUGAAUGAGAACUUGGCGCCAGGUGAGACACCACUGUGCCUCACAUCAGAUGAACUAAUUCCGCUCGUGGUGACUUUGGUUGCCAAGGGCAAGUGCAACCGUCUGGCCAGCAAUCUCUACUAUAUCGAACACUUCAAUUGGAUCAAGUCUAAGACAGAUGAUUUAGGGUUUAGUCUUGUAACUUUCAAUGCAGUGAAGGAGUACAUACUGACAACUGACUUCAGCAAAACAGCAUCACCAAAACCAAAGCUAAAGAAGGAGAUGAGUAUCAAGGAGUUAAUGAUUGCCCAGAAGACAUUGAAUGAGGUAGGUCCCUCCACAAGCCUUGGACCAUCAAUGCCAGCUAGAACCCUGGAGAAACAGUUGGAGAACAUCUCUAAGAUGAUGGAGAACACGAAAGUGACACCAAACUCCAGAGUUGCCAUGAGGUCGUUGUUUGAAGGCUCGGAUGUACCUGAUCCAGCCUUCAAAAGCAGUGGGCCUCCGCCUGAUAUCAUUCCCAUAUCAGACCAAAAGAAUCAAGGUAGUCAGGCCAAUAAUUUGGGUGAUUUCCUGUCAACACUUCAGAACGACGUCUUUGGGACGUCUUUUGGCAAACUAAACUAGGCAGCCAUCGCAGCGUUCCACUAGUGUGCAGGAUAUAUCAAAAUUCCACUAAAAAGCAUUCAUUUAUGAAAUAGAAUAUCAACACAAACUGAAGGUACACACAAAUAUGAUGUGUGUAAUCAGGAAAGCAGUUCAGUAGCUGUAUUAGUCAGUGUAUACAAAAUGAGUGGGUAGCACUUUUUUGACUAACGAUAGAUUUUAUUUCACAAGCUUUCACCGCAGAUGGGGCUUCAUCGGGUGUGUGUAAUAUUUCCUACAACAUCCUUGCUGUUCAUUAUAAAUAUUUAUGCAAUAUCUUAAUUAUUUACAUUAUUUAACAUCAUUACCAAAAUAUUUCUCAAUAUAUGUUCAUUGUUUCCCCCCCCCCAAUUUAUUAUAGCCAGCGUUCGAUUUGCCCAGUAUGACAUCGCUAAAUGAGAUGCGUUUUAAACGCGAAACACUUCCACAAAUGCAUCACAAGAAAAUGUGACGCAAUUAUUUGCCUAGAAUUAGCUGCUCAGUCUUCAGUUAGGCCUGGCUGUAAAAACUAAGAGGCUUGGUGCACAAAAAAGUUCCGAAAAUUGUUUCGAAAAUCAAGUUAUCCAAUGUUUUGGGCCAAAAAUAGCACAGUAUACAUAUGUUUACAUCAAGUGCACACAUACUAUGCUAUAUGUACAUUGUUGUACAUGCAGCUGGUUUGAGUACGAGUCAGGCUUCUUUCCUGUGUUUGCAAUAUUACCACAUUUUGCCACUCCCUCGGUUCUGCUUCUCCUGUAGAUCGCUUUCACUUACACACGUUUGCACAAUGAGGAGUAAUGUUGUUUAAUGUCAUGUAUGUACCGUGCUAGAGCGGCACGUCGUGCACAUAUAGAUGUGUAGUAUGCAAAUUAUCUUACUUUUUAUCUUGGCGCUGUUACUCCUGCUGUUUACAUCCAGUCAGACUCAAUGGCUGUCACUGUCAUAUUAGACAGUAAGGAUGAGCCAGUGUUUUAGCAUUGAAAAAUAAAGGCACAUCACAUGAUUUUUUCAUUGAAAAGUGUCAUUUCUAUUCUUUAAUAAUCAUUCAUUAUCACCGCAGAAAAAAAUGCUAUGCACAAUUUUGGAAUUGCUACACACACAAAAAAUGCUGGAAAUCGAAAGCUGAUUAUAGCGACUAUUAUAUUAUACCUUGCAUUUAUUAGUUGUAUAUAUUACAAAAGUGCUCUUUUUAUUAUUAAUCUUAAAUUUUAUCAACUGUUAUAUAUUUAUUAAAUUAUUGAGAGUUAUAUGAUACAUUCAAAUAUUUAAAAUAAAUUGAAUAUUUAAAUAUUUCAGAGUAUAUUAACUAUAAAUUAAAGCAAAAUUUUAAUGAAAACUUUCCGAACAGUCAAAAAAUGCCAUCAUCCAAAAACUUUCAAGAAAUUUUUUCGUGGAACCGUACCACAAUGUGUAAUAUAUCUAAGUGUCCAAUUUAAAUUUGUAGCUACACAUAAGAUAAUUAUUUUUAUAUCCAAGCAGCAUGAAGGGCUCAGGAUGUUCUUUUUUUUCAUGCCUUUUUCUUCCAUACUUUCAUUGGCUGUGUAUGUAUAUUUGGAAUGCGUAAACUGCCAAUUUAAAAUUUAAAAUUAAUUUAUUAUAGAUGUGUGGAUUUGGCUUUAAAUAAACUCUGUUCACAGAAGCCAAGGAUAGGGAUCAGACAGCAAUAACAAUUAAAAUUUAAUCAAUACCUUUUUCUUUCAUUAUAAAUACUGUAUAUGUACAUACAUAUGUUAUGGUUCUAUUAAAAUCAGACAGAAUGGAA
RNAcentral lists this unclassified non-coding RNA (3484 nucleotides) under Anneissia japonica. RNAcentral describes it as "uncharacterized LOC117114094, transcript variant X1". The record is from RNAcentral. Lineage: Eukaryota; Metazoa; Echinodermata; Crinoidea; Comatulida; Comatulidae.